RNAcentral lists this ribosomal RNA (623 nucleotides) under Bacillus cereus. RNAcentral's name for it is "bacterial SSU rRNA". It matches the Rfam family "Bacterial small subunit ribosomal RNA", at positions 386 to 1000 of the family's 1533-position model. Lineage: Bacteria; Bacillati; Bacillota; Bacilli; Caryophanales; Bacillaceae. The record is from RNAcentral.
ACGGAGCAACGCCGCGUGAGUGAUGAAGGCUUUCGGGUCGUAAAACUCUGUUGUUAGGGAAGAACAAGUGCUAGUUGAAUAAGCUGGCACCUUGACGGUACCUAACCAGAAAGCCACGGCUAACUACGUGCCAGCAGCCGCGGUAAUACGUAGGUGGCAAGCGUUAUCCGGAAUUAUUGGGCGUAAAGCGCGCGCAGGUGGUUUCUUAAGUCUGAUGUGAAAGCCCACGGCUCAACCGUGGAGGGUCAUUGGAAACUGGGAGACUUGAGUGCAGAAGAGGAAAGUGGAAUUCCAUGUGUAGCGGUGAAAUGCGUAGAGAUAUGGAGGAACACCAGUGGCGAAGCGACUUUCUGGUCUGUAACUGACACUGAGGCGCGAAAGCGUGGGGAGCAAACAGGAUUAGAUACCCUGGUAGUCCACGCCGUAAACGAUGAGUGCUAAGUGUUAGAGGGUUUCCGCCCUUUAGUGCUGAAGUUAACGCAUUAAGCACUCCGCCUGGGGAGUACGGCCGCAAGGCUGAAACUCAAGGAAUUGACGGGGGCCCGCACAAGCGGUGGGAGCAUGUGGUUUAAUUCGAAGCAACGCGAAGAACCCUUACCAGUCUUGACAUCCUCUGAAACCCU